CCUACGGGAGGCAGCAGUAGGGAAUCUUCCGCAAUGGACGAAAGUCUGACGGAGCAACGCCGCGUGAGCGAUGAAGGCCUUCGGGUCGUAAAGCUCUGUUGUCAGGGAAGAACAAGUACCGGAGUAACUGCCGGUACCUUGACGGUACCUGACCAGAAAGCCACGGCUAACUACGUGCCAGCAGCCGCGGUAAUACGUAGGUGGCAAGCGUUGUCCGGAAUUAUUGGGCGUAAAGCGCGCGCAGGUGGUUUCUUAAGUCUGAUGUGAAAGCCCACGGCUCAACCGUGGAGGGUCAUUGGAAACUGGGGGACUUGAGUACUGAAGAGGAAAGUGGAAUUCCACGUGUAGCGGUGAAAUGCGUAGAGAUGUGGAGGAACACCAGUGGCGAAGGCGACUUUCUGGUCAGUAACUGACGCUGAGGCGCGAAAGCGUGGGGAGCAAACAGGAUUAGAUACCCUGGUAGUCCACGCCGUAAACGAUGAGUGCUAAGUGUUAGGGGGUUUCCGCCCCUUAGUGCUGCAGCUAACGCAUUAAGCACUCCGCCUGGGGAGUACGGCCGCAAGGCUGAAACUCAAAGGAAUUGACGG
Molecule: ribosomal RNA, 587 nt
Filed under: uncultured bacterium
Lineage: Bacteria
Description: bacterial SSU rRNA
Rfam family: Bacterial small subunit ribosomal RNA
Source: RNAcentral